ACACCCUCAAGCACUGCUUGGUGUUGGGCGUCUGUCCCCGCCUCUGCGCGGUGACUCGCCCCAAAUCCAUUGGCAGCGGUCCUUGCCUCCUCUUGCGCAGCACAUUGCGCUUCUCGGGGGGCGUGGUCCGCAUCCACGAAGCAAAAUUACCGU
This 153-nucleotide unclassified non-coding RNA is filed under the name uncultured fungus. RNAcentral's name for it is "sequence contains ITS2". The record is from RNAcentral. Lineage: Eukaryota; Fungi.